UCGAAGUGAAGCACAUUUUCUAGUAGUAUAUGGGCCUGAAAGAAUUGGUCUUGUCAAAGUUAGGCCUUGAAUGAUCAACUACAUGAAGCGGAUGGCAACGAAGGUCGGCCCAACGACCUUCUUAAGGUCUUAGUCUUUCAGUUUAUUGUCACAAAUUAAUUAAAAACUUGAUCAUGAAUAUAAGAGUUAUUACAGACAUGGCAAUCAGUAAAUUAAUCAACUCUCAAAUUUGUGCAAGAAUAAAAAUUAGUACUUUUACAUUCAGGUUCUAUUUUUUACCAAUCCGGUUCAUCACCCUGUAGCCACUAUGGUGCCCUUAAGUCUUCAAGACUUGAUCAAGUCUCAUAAUCUCAGCACUAACACACACGCUUCAUUUCAUACUGCCAUUUUUAAAAUUAAUCACUAAUACAUGAAUCAAAAAUAUUAAGGAUGUAUGCUGUAACUUUUAAAGCAAUUCACAUAUUUCUCUAUAUCUAAAAAUCAAUAGAGAGCAUGCUUAAUUUAAAGCUUAAACAUGCAUAACUCAUAACACUUCAAACAUUAUAUUAUUAAAUCGAGUGGACAAGCAAUAAGUCAAUUUGAAACUCGCAGACUUGAUCAUUUAAGUAAGUGUAGGUAUAGAGUUUUUGAAUGUUUUCCUAGAAUGCUUAAAAACAGCUAGAUGAGCCAAAUAAAGGCUAAGAAAGAAUAUGACAAAGCUCAUCAAUUAUAGAAACAACCUUGAACAACUCGAAACCAGUAGAAAAAUCCAAAAAAUUUUGAGUUCAAAUUUCAAUAGAAAUCAAUAACUGAAACCAAACAUGAUCACCUAAAUUUUCUCAGAUUUUCUUAGUUUUAUCAGAGUUUUAUUAACUUAGAAAUUCUUUUUGUUUUCAGCUCGCUUUUCUCUCCAAAGAAUUAAGAGAAUAGUGUCGAAAUUUCUCACAAUUUGAUGUUCUAAGUCUCAAAAAAUUGAUCAUUUUCGUCUCUGUUUUCAAGUGAGAGAUGUGGGAUUAUAUAGGGUCUCUUCUAAGAUUUCCUCAUCUGCCCUAAAUCCAUGGAUCCUAUGCUCAACCAAUAGGAACGCUUUCAGCUCUUUCUUAGCAGCUUCUAGGAUAUUAUUAAAGAUUCCCCUAGGUCAUUUUCUUUUUUUAACCUCAAUAUCCCUCUGCCUUAUCUCUUUAUACAAUUCAACUUUAUCCUUCUAGAAACUUUUUUUUAUAAUUUUUUUGAUAAUUUCCUUAAUGCCUUUAUUCUUUUAAACAUACCCACCUUACUAUUAUUUUUAAAAAUGGGCUUGGGACAUACUGAUUUAGGUUAGCAGACCUAGGCUCAAUUACCGAGAUCCACUAUUGACUUUCAUUGUGUCUCUUUGUAGAUUAAAACAUGCCCUAAGAAUUUAAAUCCAAACACAUUCCCCAGCUCAAUACUCUAAAAUAAAAUCACUCAACAAAUAAAAGUAAACUUAAUUGCUUCUAAACAAGUGAAAAUAAAUAAUACUUGAGUAUGGUAACAAAUAUUUGAGCACAAAAUAAAUGGUAAGAAUCAAAAUCCUAAUUAAAAUGCAAGUGAUUGAUUAUGCUAUAACACAGAAACCUAAUUAUUAAACUAAACUAGAUACACAGUUCAAAAUAAAGACACAGAAGUCAAUUGGAAAUGAUAAUAUAUAGGCAGGAAAGACGAAGAAAAGGAGGAAAUUACCUCAACUAGUCUAGCUCACCGGAAAAGAUGAAUUUCGGCAAGCAAAAACCACUUCCAUAGGAUCAUCUCAUUUGGAUUGUGUAAUCCAGUAGGUGCUGAUGUGCAAGUGGCCACUGCAAAACGGAAACAAGAAGAAGAGGGAAGGUUCGAGCAGCUUUAAAGGAAUUUGAAGGGUCCGACUUUACUCCAAGAGAUCCACCUUGGAUUUUAACAUCCUCAUUGAUCUGAUCGGCUGUCACGAUCCGAAAUUUCCACCUUCGGGACCGUGAUGGCGCAUAACAUUUCACUUGUCAUGCAAACCAACGUUAGAUAAAUUUUAAAUCAUUUUUAAACAAAUCAAAUCUAAAUGAUGCAAAUGAAUUUCACUUGUCAUUCUUGCACAUGAAUUUCACAUAACACAUAGCUCUAGGGUUCCAAAUUCCCUCAAAUUAAGGUUAAAUCCAACAUUUACCUCACUCCGCAGUCAACUCAGAGCUCUAUCGAGGCCUUCCUCUAAAAUCUGCCUC
RNAcentral lists this long non-coding RNA (2186 nucleotides) under Nicotiana tabacum (common tobacco). RNAcentral's name for it is "long non-coding RNA (NTAB_LNC018144)". Lineage: Eukaryota; Viridiplantae; Streptophyta; Magnoliopsida; Solanales; Solanaceae. The record is from RNAcentral.